CUAAGGAUGGUUCUUCAGAAGCUUGCUUCUAUCGAACCGUUUUACAAACAUCAGUGGCCAACGGUCGUCAGGAUCGUUGAGCUGCAUUGGCGGGAUUUCGCCGUCUUCGUUUCUCUUUCUUCGCGGACGAACACGCGCUGGGGCUGCAACCUUGCAGAAUCCCUGGUCCUUGAGUGGAUAUGCGUUAGGGGCUUGUAGCUCAGUUGGUUAGAGCGCGCGCUUGAUAAGCGUGAGGUCGGAAGUUCAAGUCGUCCCAGGCCCACCACACUCAUCGAGUGAGCAUUCGUCUUCUGGUUACGGGGCCAUAGCUCAGCUGGGAGAGCGCGUGCUUUGCAAGCAUGAGGUCGUCGGUUCGAUCCCGUCUGGCUCCACCAGAUGGUUUGAUCACCGGCUGCUCAUACCGUCGUCCGCGAAACAUCACUUCGCACUUACUAGUCCGGAUGGACAGUAAGCUGCGUGAUUUCUGACAUCGUAAAGAGGAGAUCGAUCCGAGUUGGAUCGGGCAACAAGUAAUUGUUGCGCGAUACUUCAUUAUCUCCGGAUCAUUUCGGCGCUCGUGCGUCUUCCAUUGUAGCUCACAAGGCUGCUUUGAAAGACAAGCGAGUUGUAAAUGAUCCUUUUAGCGAAGCUUGACCGCCUCGCUAUCGGAACGAUCUUACGAAGCAAGCUGGUCUUUCUAAUCAUUGUCCGGCUGCAGAUAGCGUUCAUCGAGGGCGCGUGCCGCAAGGUAGUUCUGCAGACAACAUUCUGCCGAGUGUGUGGACAUUGAUAAUGAGAGC
RNAcentral lists this transfer RNA (779 nucleotides) under Bradyrhizobium sp. 12LoS15_1. RNAcentral's name for it is "16S-23S ribosomal RNA intergenic spacer". The stretch from base 189 to 262 matches the Rfam family "tRNA". Lineage: Bacteria; Pseudomonadati; Pseudomonadota; Alphaproteobacteria; Hyphomicrobiales; Nitrobacteraceae. The record is from RNAcentral.